Molecule: ribosomal RNA, 296 nt
Filed under: uncultured bacterium
Lineage: Bacteria
Description: partial 16S ribosomal RNA
Rfam family: Bacterial small subunit ribosomal RNA
Source: RNAcentral
AUACCUACGGGGGGCAGCAGUGGGGAAUAUUGCACAAUGGGGGAAACCCUGAUGCAGCGACGCCGCGUGAGUGAAGAAGUAUUUCGGUAUGUAAACCUCUUUUGCCGGGGAGCAAAGAGCGGGACGCGUCCCGCCUCGAGAGUACCCGGAGAAAAAGCAUCGGCUAACUCCGUGCCAGCAGCCGCGGUAAUACGGAGGAUGCGAGCGUUAUCCGGAUUUAUUGGGUUUAAAGGGUGCGCAGGCGGCACGGCAAGCCGGCGGUCAAAUUGCGGGGCUCAACCCCGCCCAGCCGUCGG